UACGUAGGGUGCAAGCGUUGUCCGGAAUUAUUGGGCGUAAAGAGCUCGUAGGCGGUCUGUCGCGUCGAAUGUGAAAACCCGGGGCUCAACCCCGGGCCUGCAUUCGAUACGGGCAGACUAGAGUUCGGUAGGGGAGUCUGGAAUUCCUGGUGUAGCGGUGAAAUGCGCAGAUAUCAGGAGGAACACCGGUGGCGAAGGCGGCAUCCUGGACCGGCAUUGACGCUGAGGCGCGAAAGCCAGGGGAGCAAACGGG
Molecule: ribosomal RNA, 253 nt
Filed under: uncultured bacterium
Lineage: Bacteria
Description: partial 16S ribosomal RNA
Rfam family: Bacterial small subunit ribosomal RNA
Source: RNAcentral